Molecule: ribosomal RNA, 489 nt
Filed under: uncultured bacterium
Lineage: Bacteria
Description: partial 16S ribosomal RNA
Rfam family: Bacterial small subunit ribosomal RNA
Source: RNAcentral
UUGAACGCUGGCGGCAGGCCUAACACAUGCAAGUCGAACGGUAACAGGAAACAGCUUGCUGUUUCGCUGACGAGUGGCGGACGGGUGAGUAAUGUCUGGGAAACUGCCUGAUGGAGGGGGAUAACUACUGGAAGCGGUAGCUAAUACCGCAUAACGUCGCAAGACCAAAGAGGGGGACCUUCGGGCCUCUUGCCAUCGGAUGUGCCCAGAUGGGAUUAGCUAGUAGGUGGGGUAACGGCUCACCUAGGCGACGAUCCCUAGCUGGUCUGAGAGGAUGACCAGCCACACUGGAACUGAGACACGGUCCAGACUCCUACGGGAGGCAGCAGUGGGGAAUAUUGCACAAUGGGCGCAAGCCUGAUGCAGCCAUGCCGCGUGUAUGAAGAAGGCCUUCGGGUUGUAAAGUACUUUCAGCGGGGAUGAAGGGAGUAAAGUUAAUACCUUUGCUCAUUGACGUUACCCGCAGAAGAAGCACCGGCUAACUCCGUG